AAAUAACCAUUCUCUAUAUCCAUUAAUUGAAAAGGUUUAGAUGGUCUCCAAAUCCCAUAUAGUCUAUUAUGCAAAGUCGUGAUUCCAAGGUUCCAACCAAGCAUCUUGAGUACCACAUAGGUUUACAUUUCCUUUUCCAAGAGCUGAUAUACUCUCUCCGAGAAAUCGAUUGAAGGAACACUACCAACAAACGAUUUCUUGACAUCCUACUCUAUGAGGGAUAAUUUAUCAACGAGGAAUUGGCCACCAUUUGUAUUGUUCUGCACAAAAGUAUCCUUUCCCAC
RNAcentral lists this long non-coding RNA (284 nucleotides) under Gossypium raimondii (Peruvian cotton). RNAcentral's name for it is "long non-coding RNA (GRAI_LNC005221)". Lineage: Eukaryota; Viridiplantae; Streptophyta; Magnoliopsida; Malvales; Malvaceae. The record is from RNAcentral.